Molecule: non-coding RNA, 115 nt
Organism: Bacillus cereus Rock3-44
Lineage: Bacteria; Bacillati; Bacillota; Bacilli; Caryophanales; Bacillaceae
Source: Rfam
AAGCCCUUUUAAAUGUAGUCCUGUGAGGCUGCCAAAGGGUCUUGGCUUUCAUAUGUCAAAUUUGGCAUACGAAAGUAUAGGACUCUUUGUGCAUAGUCACAAAGAGUUUUUUUAU